This 750-nucleotide ribosomal RNA is filed under the name Halomonas sp. Its description in RNAcentral is "bacterial SSU rRNA". It matches the Rfam family "Bacterial small subunit ribosomal RNA", at positions 35 to 787 of the family's 1533-position model. Lineage: Bacteria; Pseudomonadati; Pseudomonadota; Gammaproteobacteria; Oceanospirillales; Halomonadaceae. The record is from RNAcentral.
GAGAGCGGCAGCUACCAUGCAGUCGAGCGGUAACAGAUCCAGCUUGCUGGAUGCUGACGAGCGGCGGACGGGUGAGUAAUGCAUAGGAAUCUGCCCGAUAGUGGGGGAUAACCUGGGGAAACCCAGGCUAAUACCGCAUACGUCCUACGGGAGAAAGGGGGCUUCGGCUCCCGCUAUCGGAUGAGCCUAUGUCGGAUUAGCUAGUUGGUGAGGUAACGGCUCACCAAGGCCACGAUCCGUAGCUGGUCUGAGAGGAUGAUCAGCCACAUCGGGACUGAGACACGGCCCGAACUCCUACGGGAGGCAGCAGUGGGGAAUAUUGGACAAUGGGGGGAACCCUGAUCCAGCCAUGCCGCGUGUGUGAAGAAGGCCCUCGGGUUGUAAAGCACUUUCAGCGAGGAAGAACGCCUAGCGGUUAAUACCCGCUAGGAAAGACAUCACUCGCAGAAGAAGCACCGGCUAACUCCGUGCCAGCAGCCGCGGUAAUACGGAGGGUGCAAGCGUUAAUCGGAAUUACUGGGCGUAAAGCGCGCGUAGGUGGCUUGAUAAGCCGGUUGUGAAAGCCCCGGGCUCAACCUGGGAACGGCAUCCGGAACUGUCAAGCUAGAGUGCAGGAGAGGAAGGUAGAAUUCCCGGUGUAGCGGUGAAAUGCGUAGAGAUCGGGAGGAAUACCAGUGGCGAAGGCGGCCUUCUGGACUGACACUGACACUGAGGUGCGAAAGCGUGGGUAGCAAACAGGAUUAGAUUCCU